GACGAACGCUGGCGGCGUGCUUAACACAUGCAAGUCGAACGGAAAGGCCCUGCUUUUGUGGGGUGCUCGAGUGGCGAACGGGUGAGUAACACGUGAGUAACCUGCCCUUGACUUUGGGAUAACUUCAGGAAACUGGGGCUAAUACCGGAUAGGAGCUCCUGCGGCAGGGGGGGGGUGGGAAAGUUUCGGCGGUUGGGGAUGGACUCGCGGCUUAUCAGCUUGUUGGUGGGGUAGUGGCUUACCAAGGCUUUGACGGGUAGCCGGCCUGAGAGGGUGACCGGCCACAUUGGGACUGAGAUACGGCCCAGACUCCUACGGGAGGCAGCAGUGGGGAAUAUUGCACAAUGGGCGGAAGCCUGAUGCAGCAACGCCGCGUGCGGGAUGACGGCCUUCGGGUUGUAAACCGCUUUCGCCUGUGACGAAGCGUGAGUGACGGUAAUGGGUAAAGAAGCACCGGCUAACUACGUG
This 468-nucleotide ribosomal RNA is filed under the name uncultured bacterium. RNAcentral describes it as "partial 16S ribosomal RNA". It matches the Rfam family "Bacterial small subunit ribosomal RNA", at positions 28 to 507 of the family's 1533-position model. The record is from RNAcentral.